Long non-coding RNA from Ipomoea nil (Japanese morning glory), 307 nucleotides. RefSeq lists it as uncharacterized. The record is from RefSeq and is a predicted model, not a curated record. Lineage: Eukaryota; Viridiplantae; Streptophyta; Magnoliopsida; Solanales; Convolvulaceae. The transcript is spliced from 2 exons.
CAUGAGAUUAGGACUAAAUUGUGUUAUUUUGCAAGGAGUUUGGUUUGAAAAGCAUUGGAAGCAAAGUUGAGUAUUUUCAGGCAUUUUGAAGUCAAUGGGAGCCAAGGAGAAGCUAAGAGGAUGGCUAAAACACUUCAAAAGGAGCCUAAGAGUGGUGUUUUCAAUGGUGUUGGUCAUUUGGGCAAACCAAAACAAAAGAGGAGCAAAAGAUCAAUGCAUUGCAAUUUUCGCUCAUUUCGACCACUGUUCGGUAUUUUGACUAUAUCUCAGCCUAGGAGUGUUGAAAUUAAGUGAUUCUUGUUCCAUU